RNAcentral lists this transfer RNA (76 nucleotides) under Tindallia texcoconensis. RNAcentral describes it as "tRNA-Lys". It matches the Rfam family "tRNA". Rfam says of the family: Transfer RNA (tRNA) molecules are approximately 80 nucleotides in length. The record is from RNAcentral. RNAcentral also lists the same sequence under 13 other names. Lineage: Bacteria; Bacillati; Bacillota; Clostridia; Peptostreptococcales; Tindalliaceae.
GACCCAUUAGCUCAGUUGGCAGAGCACCUGACUUUUAAUCAGGGUGUCCCGCGUUCGAGUCGCGGAUGGGUCACCA